RNAcentral lists this unclassified non-coding RNA (225 nucleotides) under Hevea brasiliensis (rubber tree). The record is from RNAcentral. Lineage: Eukaryota; Viridiplantae; Streptophyta; Magnoliopsida; Malpighiales; Euphorbiaceae.
AGCAAAACUAAUAUAACAACAAGAAGAUAACCAGUGUAAUCCCACGAGUGGGGUCUGGGGAGGGUACAGUGAACACAAACUUCAACCCUACCUUGGGAGGUAGAGAGGUGGUUUUCGAUAGAAAACAUUUUUCGAGUGUUUGUCUCUUCUGUAUGUUCUCAUCUUGAGGGAGCUCUAUUCGUAGACACAUCGACUAGAACGAAAUGUACCAUUACUGAAAAUCUG